This 75-nucleotide transfer RNA is filed under the name Planctomycetaceae bacterium. Its description in RNAcentral is "tRNA-Asn". It matches the Rfam family "tRNA". From Rfam's summary of the family: Transfer RNA (tRNA) molecules are approximately 80 nucleotides in length. Their secondary structure includes four short double-helical elements and three loops (D, anti-codon, and T loops). Further hydrogen bonds mediate the characteristic L-shaped molecular structure. tRNAs have two regions of fundamental functional importance: the anti-codon, which is responsible for specific mRNA codon recognition, and the 3' end, to which the tRNAs corresponding amino acid is attached (by aminoacyl-tRNA synthetases). tRNAs cope with the degeneracy of the genetic code in two manners: having more than one tRNA (with a specific anti-codon) for a particular amino acid; and 'wobble' base-pairing, i.e. permitting non-standard base-pairing at the 3rd anti-codon position. Lineage: Bacteria; Pseudomonadati; Planctomycetota; Planctomycetia; Planctomycetales; Planctomycetaceae. The record is from RNAcentral.
UGCGGUGUCGCUCGUGUUGGUACGAGCAGGCGGCUGUUAACCGUCUUGUCGCAGGUUCGAUUCCUGCCGCCGCAG